GACGAACGCUGGCGGCGUGCUUAACACAUGCAAGUCGAACGGUGAGGCCCUGCUUUUGUGGGGUGCUCGAGUGGCGAACGGGUGAGUAACACGAGAGUAACCUGCCCUUGACUUUGGGAUAACUUCAGGAAACUGGGGCUAAUCCAGGAUAGGAGCUCCUGCUGCAUGGUGGGGGUUGGAAAGUUUCGGCGGUUGGGGAUGGACUCGCGGCUUAUCAGCUUGUUGGUGGGGUUGUGGCUUACCAAGGCUUUGACGGGUAGCCGGCCUGAGAGGGUGACCGGCCACAUUGGGACUGAGAUACGGCCCAGACGCCUACGGGAGGGAGCAGUGGGGAAUAUUGCACAAUGGGCGGAAGCCUGGUGCAGCAACGCCGCGUGCGGGAUGACGGCCUUCGGGUUGUAAACCGCUUUCGCCUGUGACGAAGCGUGAGUGACGGUAAUGGGUUAAGAAGCACCGGCUAACUACGUG
This 468-nucleotide ribosomal RNA is filed under the name uncultured bacterium. RNAcentral describes it as "partial 16S ribosomal RNA". It matches the Rfam family "Bacterial small subunit ribosomal RNA", at positions 28 to 507 of the family's 1533-position model. The record is from RNAcentral.